UUUUUGGAGAGUUUGAUCCUGGCUCAGGACGAACGCUGGCGGCGUGCCUAAUACAUGCAAGUCGAGCGCGGGAAACGUCCGGAUCCUUUCGGGGUGAAGG
Molecule: ribosomal RNA, 100 nt
Filed under: Sporolactobacillus sp. THM7-7
Lineage: Bacteria; Bacillati; Bacillota; Bacilli; Caryophanales; Sporolactobacillaceae
Description: partial 16S ribosomal RNA
Rfam family: Bacterial small subunit ribosomal RNA
Source: RNAcentral